This is a long non-coding RNA of Carassius auratus (goldfish), 278 nucleotides long. RefSeq lists it as uncharacterized. NCBI's taxonomy places the organism in Eukaryota, Metazoa, Chordata, Actinopteri, Cypriniformes, Cyprinidae. The transcript has 3 exons. The record is from RefSeq and is a predicted model, not a curated record.
ACAGAAUCUCAGACAAACAGAUUUCAAGUUUCAUGCAGACUCAAUGGUGUAUGAGAGCCAAAAAAGAAAAAGAAGAGAGUUCAGCGAAUGACCUUCAAUGACUCCAAGUCAGUCAGAACAAAAAGCAGCAGUGAACAGUGGGAAUGAAGUCAGUGAUGGUCAGAGUUGGAUUUCAUCCUAUUUUGAUUGCAUCCAGUAAAAACAAACAUAUGUUCCACAGAGAAAUGUAAAAGUUCAACGGGGGAUUGCAAAUGUUCCUGCCUGACCUCUGCAUCCCU